RNAcentral lists this non-coding RNA (30 nucleotides) under Cricetulus griseus (Chinese hamster). Lineage: Eukaryota; Metazoa; Chordata; Mammalia; Rodentia; Cricetidae. The record is from RNAcentral.
AAGGGCUGCAGCAAGGGACAAGUCUCCAUU